CAGUCGCCGCGGUAAUACGUAGGGUGCAAGCGUUAAUCGGAAUUACUGGGCGUAAAGCGUGCGCAGGCGGUUUGUUAAGACAGGUGUGAAAUCCCCGGGCUCAACCUGGGAACUGCAUUUGUGACUGGCAAGCUAGAGUGUGGCAGAGGGGGGUGGAAUUCCGCGUGUAGCAGUGAAAUGCGUAGAUAUGCGGAGGAACACCGAUGGCGAAGGCAGCCCCCUGGGCCAACACUGACGCUCAUGCACGAAAGCGUGGGGAGCAAACAGGAUUAGAUACCCCUGUAGUCCCUGUCUCUUAUAC
RNAcentral lists this ribosomal RNA (301 nucleotides) under uncultured bacterium. Its description in RNAcentral is "partial 16S ribosomal RNA". It matches the Rfam family "Bacterial small subunit ribosomal RNA", at positions 509 to 807 of the family's 1533-position model. The record is from RNAcentral.